This 293-nucleotide ribosomal RNA is filed under the name uncultured bacterium. RNAcentral's name for it is "partial 16S ribosomal RNA". It matches the Rfam family "Bacterial small subunit ribosomal RNA", at positions 775 to 1067 of the family's 1533-position model. The record is from RNAcentral.
GGAUUAGAUACCCUGGUAGUCCACGCCGUAAACGAUGGAUACUAGGUGUCGGGGGGUUGCCCUUCGGCGCCGCAGCUAACGCGUUAAGUAUCCCGCCUGGGGAGUACGGUCGCAAGGCUGAAACUCAAAGAAAUUGACGGGGGCCCGCACAAGCGGUGGAGUAUGUGGUUUAAUUCGAUGCAACGCGAAGAACCUUACCUAGGCUUGACAUCCCGGGAACCCUCCCGAAAAGGAGGGGUGCUCUUCGGAGAACCCGGUGACAGGUGCUGCAUGGCUGUCGUCAGCUCGUGCUG